This 492-nucleotide ribosomal RNA is filed under the name Flavobacteriaceae bacterium. RNAcentral's name for it is "bacterial SSU rRNA". It matches the Rfam family "Bacterial small subunit ribosomal RNA", at positions 1 to 486 of the family's 1533-position model. The record is from RNAcentral. Lineage: Bacteria; Pseudomonadati; Bacteroidota; Flavobacteriia; Flavobacteriales; Flavobacteriaceae.
UAACGAUGAAGAGUUUGAUCCUGGCUCAGGAUGAACGCUAGCGGCAGGCCUAAUACAUGCAAGUCGAGGGGUAACAGAAAGUGCUUGCACUUUGCUGACGACCGGCGGACGGGUGAGUAACGCGUAUAUAAUCUGCCUCAUACUAGAGGAUAGCCCGAAGAAAUUUGGAUUAAGACUCUAUAGUAUCAUUUAAAGACAUCUUUUUAUGAUUAAAGGUUACGGUAUGAGAUGAGUAUGCGUUCUAUUAGUUUGUAGGUGAGGUAACGGCUCACCUAGACUACGAUAGAUAGGGGCCCUGAGAGGGGGACCCCCCACACUGGUACUGAGACACGGACCAGACUCCUACGGGAGGCAGCAGUAAGGAAUAUUGGUCAAUGGACGAAAGUCUGAACCAGCCAUGCCGCGUGCAGGAUGAAUGCCCUAUGGGUUGUAAACUGCUUUUAUACAGGAAGAAAAACUUUCUCGUGAGAAAGCUUGACGGUACUGUAAGAA